RNAcentral lists this unclassified non-coding RNA (282 nucleotides) under Bombus terrestris (buff-tailed bumblebee). RNAcentral's name for it is "misc RNA ENSBTSG00005036699.1". The record is from RNAcentral. Lineage: Eukaryota; Metazoa; Arthropoda; Insecta; Hymenoptera; Apidae.
GGAAUUUCUCCUCCUCCUUGCAAUUGCUUUUCAACUUCUAUUCUUGAAACAUAUUUUCAAGAGAGUGGUGAAUUUCUUUGAAAGUGGGCCUAUCAGCAGCAGACCACUGCCAACAUUGCCGCAUCAAUUCAUAUACUUUCGGUGGACAUCCAGGUGGACAUUCCAUUCUGUAGCCUUUUUCCAGCAUAUGAUAGACAUCGGUCAAAUCAACACCAGGGUAGGGAGACAUUCCAUAGGUUGCUAUUUCCCAAAGUAAGAUGCCAAAUGCCCACACAUCAGACU